AGCGGCGGACGGGUGAGUAACACGUGGAUAACCUGCCUUACGGACCGGGAUAACACCGGGAAACUGGUGCUAAUACCGGAUACGCUCUCCGGGGGGCCUCUCCUGGGGAGGAAAGCCGGCCUCUGGUUCAAGCUGGCGCCGUGAGAUGGGUCCGCGGCCCAUUAGCUUGUUGGCGGGGUAACGGCCCACCAAGGCGACGAUGGGUAGCCGGCCUGAGAGGGUGGUCGGCCACACUGGGACUGAGACACGGCCCAGACUCCUACGGGAGGCAGCAGUGGGGAAUCUUCCGCAAUGGGCGCAAGCCUGACGGAGCGACGCCGCGUGGGGGACGAAGGCCUUCGGGUUGUAAACCCCUUUUCUGAGGGAAGAACGCCUGUGUUGCGAAUAGUGGCGCAGGGUGACGGUACCUCAGGAAUAAGCCCCGGCUAACUACGUGCCAGCAGCCGCGGUAAGAC
This 455-nucleotide ribosomal RNA is filed under the name uncultured bacterium. RNAcentral describes it as "bacterial SSU rRNA". It matches the Rfam family "Bacterial small subunit ribosomal RNA", at positions 94 to 526 of the family's 1533-position model. The record is from RNAcentral.